RNAcentral lists this ribosomal RNA (253 nucleotides) under uncultured bacterium. RNAcentral describes it as "partial 16S ribosomal RNA". It matches the Rfam family "Bacterial small subunit ribosomal RNA", at positions 524 to 776 of the family's 1533-position model. The record is from RNAcentral.
AACGUAGGACGCAAGCGUUAUCCGGAAUUACUGGGCGUAAAGCGCGUGUAGGCGGGUCUGUAAGUCUGUCGUGAAAGCUCCCGGCUAAACUGGGAGAGGUCGAUGGAAACUACAGGUCUGGAGUUUGGCAGAGGAAUGUGGAAUUCCGCGUGUAGUGGUGAAAUGCGUAGAGAUGCGAAGGAACACCAGUGGCGAAGGCGGCAUUCUGGGCCACAACUGACGCUGAGACGCGAAAGCAUGGGUAGCGAACGGG